GAAAUGCGAUAAGUAAUGUGAAUUGCAGAAUUCAGUGAAUCAUCGAAUCUUUGAACGCACCUUGCGCCUUUUGGUAUUCCGAAAGGCAUGCCUGUUUGAGUGUCAUGUAGACUCAACCCCUCGGGUUUCUUGCCCGAGGUGCGUUGGAUUUGGGCCCUGCCUACCUGGCUGGCCUUAAAUGUGCUAGCGGUGACCGCGCAGACGUUGUAAGCACUCGUCGACCGUCGGGCCCGCUCAUAACCCCACCUACUUUUGCACUCUGACCUCAAAUCAGGUAGGGCUACCCGCUGAACUUAA
RNAcentral lists this unclassified non-coding RNA (297 nucleotides) under uncultured Tremella. Its description in RNAcentral is "sequence contains ITS1". The stretch from base 1 to 105 matches the Rfam family "5.8S ribosomal RNA", at positions 50 to 154 of the family's 154-position model. The record is from RNAcentral. Lineage: Eukaryota; Fungi; Basidiomycota; Tremellomycetes; Tremellales; Tremellaceae.